RNAcentral lists this ribosomal RNA (460 nucleotides) under uncultured bacterium. RNAcentral's name for it is "partial 16S ribosomal RNA". It matches the Rfam family "Bacterial small subunit ribosomal RNA", at positions 338 to 795 of the family's 1533-position model. The record is from RNAcentral.
CCUACGGGAGGCAGCAGUGAGGAAUAUUGGUCAAUGGACGAGAGUCUGAACCAGCCAAGUAGCGUGAAUGAUGACUGCCCUAUGGUUUGUAAACUUCUUUUAUAUGGGAAUAAAAUGUUCCACGUGUGGGAUUUUGUAUGUACCAUAUGAAUAAAGAUCGGCUAACUCCGUGCCCGCAGCCGCGGUAAUACGGAGGAGCCGAGCGUUAUCCGGAUUUACUGGGUUUAAAGGGAGCGUAGGUGGAUUGUUAAGUCAGUUGUGAAAGUUUGCGGCUCAACCGUAAAAUUGCAGUUGAAACUGGCAGUCUUGAGUACAGUAGAGGUGGGCGGAAUUCGUGGUGUAGCGGUGAAAUGCUUAGAUAUUACGAAGAACUCCGAUUGCGAAGGCAGUUCACUGGACUGUAACUGACACUGAGGCUCGAAAGUGUGGGUAGCAAACAGGAUUAGAUACCCUUGUAGUC